This 253-nucleotide ribosomal RNA is filed under the name uncultured Sphingomonadaceae bacterium. Its description in RNAcentral is "partial 16S ribosomal RNA". It matches the Rfam family "Bacterial small subunit ribosomal RNA", at positions 524 to 776 of the family's 1533-position model. The record is from RNAcentral. Lineage: Bacteria; Pseudomonadati; Pseudomonadota; Alphaproteobacteria; Sphingomonadales; Sphingomonadaceae.
UACGGAGGGGGCUAGUGUUGUUCGGAAUUACUGGGCGUAAAGCGUACGUAGGCGGCUUUUUAAGUCAGAGGUGAAAGCCCGGGGCUCAACUCCGGAACUGCCUUUGAAACUGGAAAACUUGAAUCUUGGAGAGGUCAGUGGAAUUCCGAGUGUAGAGGUGAAAUUCGUAGAUAUUCGGAAGAACACCAGUGGCGAAGGCGACUGACUGGACAAGCAUUGACGCUGAGGUGCGAAAGCGUGGGGAGCAAACAGG